This 468-nucleotide ribosomal RNA is filed under the name uncultured bacterium. RNAcentral describes it as "partial 16S ribosomal RNA". It matches the Rfam family "Bacterial small subunit ribosomal RNA", at positions 28 to 507 of the family's 1533-position model. The record is from RNAcentral.
GACGAACGCUGGCGGCGUGCUUAACACAUGCAAGUCGAACGGAAAGGCCCUGCUUUUGUGGGGUGCUCGAGUGGCGAACGGGUGAGUAACACGUGAGUAACCUGCCCUUGACUUUGGGAUAACUUCAGGAAACUGGGGCUAAUACCGGAUAGGAGCUCCUGCUGCAUGGUGGGGGUUGGAAAGUUUCGGCGGUUGGGGAUGGACUCGCGGCUUAUCAGCUUGUUGGUGGGGUAGUGGAUUACCAAGGCUUUGACGGGUAGCCGGCCUGAGAGGGUGACCGGCCACAUUGGGACUGAGAUACGGCCCAGACUCCUACGGGAGGCAGCAGUGGGGAAUAUUGCACAAUGGGCGGAAGCCUGAUGCAGCAACGCCGCGUGCGGGAUGACGGCCUUCGGGUUGUAAACCGCUUUCGCCUGUGACGAAGCGUGAGUGACGGUAAUGAGUAAAGAAGCACCGGCUAACUACGUG